GGUGCCGUAGUGUAGUGGUUAUCAUGCGACGUUGUGGUUCAUCCCGCAGUCCCGUCUCGACCUGGGUUCGAUUCCCAGCGGCGCCA
Molecule: transfer RNA, 86 nt
Filed under: Aspergillus coremiiformis
Lineage: Eukaryota; Fungi; Ascomycota; Eurotiomycetes; Eurotiales; Aspergillaceae
Rfam family: tRNA
About the family: Transfer RNA (tRNA) molecules are approximately 80 nucleotides in length. Their secondary structure includes four short double-helical elements and three loops (D, anti-codon, and T loops).
Source: Rfam by way of RNAcentral